CCUACGGGCGGCAGCAGUGGGGAAUAUUGCACAAUGGGCGCAAGCCUGAUGCAGCCAUGCCGCGUGUGUGAAGAAGGCCUUCGGGUUGUAAAGCACUUUCAGCGGGGAGGAAGGCGGUGAGGUUAAUAACCUCAUCGAUUGACGUUACCCGCGGAAGAAGCACCGGCUAACUCCGUGCCAGCAGCCGCGGUAAUACGGAGGGUGCAAGCGUUAAUCGGAAUUACUGGGCGUAAAGCGCACGCAGGCGGUCUGUCAAGUCGGAUGUGAAAUCCCCGGGCUCAACCUGGGAACUGCAUUCGAAACUGGCAGGCUAGAGUCUUGUAGAGGGGGGUAGAAUUCCAGGUGUAGCGGUGAAAUGCGUAGAGAUCUGGAGGAAUACCGGUGGCGAAGGCGGCCCCCUGGACAAAGACUGACGCUCAGGUGCGAAAGCGUGGGGAGCAAACAGGAUUAGAUACCCUUGUAGUC
This 465-nucleotide ribosomal RNA is filed under the name uncultured Klebsiella sp. RNAcentral's name for it is "bacterial SSU rRNA". It matches the Rfam family "Bacterial small subunit ribosomal RNA", at positions 338 to 795 of the family's 1533-position model. The record is from RNAcentral. Lineage: Bacteria; Pseudomonadati; Pseudomonadota; Gammaproteobacteria; Enterobacterales; Enterobacteriaceae.